CCUACGGGAGGCAGCAGUGGGGAAUAUUGGACAAUGGGGGGAACCCUGAUCCAGCCAUGCCGCGUGUGUGAAGAAGGCCCUCGGGUUGUAAAGCACUUUCAGUGAGGAAGAACGCCUGGUGGUUAAUACCCAUCAGGAAAGACAUCACUCACAGAAGAAGCACCGGCUAACUCCGUGCCAGCAGCCGCGGUAAUACGGAGGGUGCGAGCGUUAAUCGGAAUUACUGGGCGUAAAGCGCGCGUAGGUGGCUUGAUAAGCCGGUUGUGAAAGCCCCGGGCUCAACCUGGGAACGGCAUCCGGAACUGUCAAGCUAGAGUGCAGGAGAGGAAGGUAGAAUUCCCGGUGUAGCGGUGAAAUGCGUAGAGAUCGGGAGGAAUUCCAGUGGCGAAGGCGGCCUUCUGGACUGACACUGACACUGAGGUGCGAAAGCGUGGGUAGCAAACAGGAUUAGAUACCCUAGUAGUC
This 465-nucleotide ribosomal RNA is filed under the name Vreelandella stevensii. Its description in RNAcentral is "partial 16S ribosomal RNA". It matches the Rfam family "Bacterial small subunit ribosomal RNA", at positions 338 to 795 of the family's 1533-position model. Lineage: Bacteria; Pseudomonadati; Pseudomonadota; Gammaproteobacteria; Oceanospirillales; Halomonadaceae. The record is from RNAcentral.